AACAGGUGAAUCAUCGAAUCUUUGAACGCACAUUGCGCCCACUGGUAUUCCGGUGGGCAUGCCUGUUCGAGCGUCAUUAUCCCCCCUCAAGCCCCGGGCUUGGUGUUAGACCCAAGUUGUGUGAACAACUGGUCUCAAAGACAAUGACGGCGUCCGUGGGACCCUCGGUGCAACGAGCUUUUAGGAGCACGCGCCGAGUUUCAAGGACCCUCCGGGCCGGUCUCCUUUUUAUCAUCUCCAAGGUUGACCUCGGAUCAGGUAGGAAUACCCGCUGAACUUAAGCAUAUCAAUAAGCGGAGG
RNAcentral lists this unclassified non-coding RNA (300 nucleotides) under uncultured Knufia. RNAcentral describes it as "sequence contains 5.8S rRNA gene, ITS2". The stretch from base 1 to 76 matches the Rfam family "5.8S ribosomal RNA", at positions 79 to 154 of the family's 154-position model. The record is from RNAcentral. Lineage: Eukaryota; Fungi; Ascomycota; Eurotiomycetes; Chaetothyriales; Chaetothyriaceae.